This is a non-coding RNA of Paramuricea clavata, 757 nucleotides long. NCBI's taxonomy places the organism in Eukaryota, Metazoa, Cnidaria, Anthozoa, Malacalcyonacea, Plexauridae. The record is from the annotation of a GenBank genome assembly.
AGACUAACGCCCGUGUUCUACAAGCUCACUCACACUCAAAGAGUGGAGGUUCAAUCUGAGCUUCUCUUGAGUGUCAAUGCUGUUUUUGAAUAGCUGCAGGGUGAGUAGUCACAUAGUAAGGUACGAGACUAACGCCCGUGUUCUACAAGCUCACUCACACUCAAAGAGUGGAGGUUCAAUCUGAGCUUCUCUUGAGUGUCAAUGCUGUUUUUGAAUAGCUGCAGGGUGAGUAGUCACAUAGUAAGGUACGAGACUAACGCCCGUGUUCUACAAGCUCACUCACACUCAAAGAGUGGAGGUUCAAUCUGAGCUUCUCUUGAGUGUCAAUGCUGUUUUUGAAUAGCUGCAGGGUGAGUAGUCACAUAGUAAGGUACGAGACUAACGCCCGUGUUCUACAAGCUCACUCACACUCAAAGAGUGGAGGUUCAAUCUGAGCUUCUCUUGAGUGUCAAUGCUGUUUUUGAAUAGCUGCAGGGUGAGUAGUCACAUAGUAAGGUACGAGACUAACGCCCGUGUUCUACAAGCUCACUCACACUCAAAGAGUGGAGGUUCAAUCUGAGCUUCUCUUGAGUGUCAAUGCUGUUUUUGAAUAGCUGACGGGUUAGUGUUGUAAAUUACUCUGUGGCUACUCAUCCUCCAGCUAUUCAAAAACAGCACUGACGCUCAAGAAAAACUCAGAUUGAACCUCCACUCUUUGAGUGUGAGUGAGCUUUCAGAAUACAGGCGUAACCUUCUAGCUAUUCAACAAGUACGAUCG